GGGGAAUUAUAAAGCUUGACGCACAGAACAAUAGAUUUCUCUUUUAUAUAAUCGAUUAUCUAUUAUCAAUAAUCGAUUGUCUUGACAUUAUUUGUGUUAUUAUUUCUGAAAUUGCAGAUUUAACAAAUAAAUAAGUUUUUUUUAAUUAUUCUAUAUUUUUUUGCUAAUGGCAAAGGGGGAAGAUAACGGGUAUGCACUCUCAAUACUUAUCGGCAUAAA
This 219-nucleotide long non-coding RNA is filed under the name Nicotiana benthamiana. RNAcentral's name for it is "long non-coding RNA (NBEN_LNC000597)". The record is from RNAcentral. Lineage: Eukaryota; Viridiplantae; Streptophyta; Magnoliopsida; Solanales; Solanaceae.